Molecule: long non-coding RNA, 731 nt
Filed under: Homo sapiens (human)
Lineage: Eukaryota; Metazoa; Chordata; Mammalia; Primates; Hominidae
Description: non-protein coding lnc-DNAAF5-1:15
Source: RNAcentral
UGGGCAGACACAGAAGAGGGAGAAGCAUUCCACAGGGGAGGAAAGGCCUCAGUGGGGACCUAUGGAGCUCCCAGGCCCACCGCAGGGAGGCAGGUCCUCGGUCAUCUGCGGAGGGAGAACACUUUCAGUCGAAGGAGCCUGGGACCCUUGACACAGAAGUGACAUGUGCAUUCGGAACCUCUCUGUGGAAAACACAGACCCUUCAUGACACGCAAACUCGAAGCCGGUGAGGCCGAGUCUCAGGGCUGCGCCAACCAGGAAGCCUGGCUGUCCAAUGUUCCAAAUCUGGAUGUGAAAUGGACCAUGCAGACAGGACCCAAGGGGCAUGGGGGAGCUGGCAGAGGCACCCGGGACAAGUGGGGAAGCACCUGUCGGCCAGGAAGGUAGAGAGGCACCUACCCCAGAACACGGUGCCAGCGUCACACUCUUAUUAACAGAUGCAAUAACCACCUUCGGAGACCAGACCCCUCAAAGAGCACUCAGCCCACAAUGUGACGCAGAGAAACCAGAGACCCAGGCAGGGAGUGCACCCACGGGGACACUCCGAGGGUGGCCUCCUGCCUGCCCUGAUUACUUAAAAAGGAGAUUCUUGGAAACCUUUGCGGGCCCACAGGUGCACCCUGACUCCCAGGGAUGGGGGCUGAGCCACCCAGGAAACAAAUAUGAAAUCAAAGAUCCAGACAGCCCUGACCCUCCUGAUUCCAGGGUCCAUAAAUAAGUCAUUCUUAAAA